UACGAAGGGGGCUAGCGUUGCUUGGAAUCACUGGGCGUAAAGCGCACGUAGGCGGCUUCUUAAGUCAGGGGUGAAAUCCUGGAGCUCAACUCCAGAACUGCCUUUGAUACUGAGGAGCUUGAGUCCGGGAGAGGUGAGUGGAACUGCGAGUGUAGAGGUGAAAUGCGUAGAUAUCGGGAGGAACAUCAGUGGCGAAGGCGACUGCCUGGCCCAACACUGACGCUGAGGUGCGAAAGCGUGGGUAGCAAACAGG
Molecule: ribosomal RNA, 253 nt
Filed under: uncultured bacterium
Lineage: Bacteria
Description: partial 16S ribosomal RNA
Rfam family: Bacterial small subunit ribosomal RNA
Source: RNAcentral